UUUUUUGUUUUUUGAGAUAGAGUUUUGCUCUUGUCGCCCAGGCUGGAAAAAAAAUAGUUAACUCUGGAACCAACUGUCUGUGACUUAGCUGUUCAUCUUUUCUGGGCUUUUCUUUAUUGUAUCAUGUAGUGGGAAAGUCACAAUUCUCUUUAAUUUGUUUUUAACAGAGUCAAGGUCUCACGAUGUUACCCAGGCUGGUCUUGAACUGAGCUCAAUUGAUCCUCCCACCUUGGCUUCCCCAAGUAAUCCCAA
Molecule: long non-coding RNA, 252 nt
Filed under: Pan troglodytes (chimpanzee)
Lineage: Eukaryota; Metazoa; Chordata; Mammalia; Primates; Hominidae
Description: long non-coding RNA NONPTRT015976
Source: RNAcentral